RNAcentral lists this ribosomal RNA (253 nucleotides) under uncultured bacterium. RNAcentral's name for it is "partial 16S ribosomal RNA". It matches the Rfam family "Bacterial small subunit ribosomal RNA", at positions 524 to 776 of the family's 1533-position model. The record is from RNAcentral.
UACGUAGGGUGCGAGCGUUGUCCGGAAUUAUUGGGCGUAAAGAGCUUGUAGGCGGUCUGUCGCGUCUGCUGUGAAAAUCCGGGGCUCAACCCCGGACCUGCAGUGGGUACGGGCAGACUAGAGUGUGGUAGGGGAGACUGGAAUUCCUGGUGUAGCGGUGAAAUGCGCAGAUAUCAGGAGGAACACCGAUGGCGAAGGCAGGUCUCUGGGCCAUAACUGACGCUGAGAAGCGAAAGCAUGGGGAGCGAACAGG